Molecule: unclassified non-coding RNA, 253 nt
Filed under: uncultured Acidobacteriota bacterium
Lineage: Bacteria; Pseudomonadati; Acidobacteriota
Description: uncultured Acidobacteria bacterium contains 16S-23S intergenic spacer region
Rfam family: Bacterial small subunit ribosomal RNA
Source: RNAcentral
UACGGAGGGAGCAAGCGUUACUCGGAAUUAUUGGGCGUAAAGGGCGCGUAGGCGUUCCUGCAAGUCAACUGUGAAAUCCCACGGCCUAACCGUGGAAUGGCAGCUGAUACUGUAGGGAUAGAGUUCCGGAGAGGAAGACGGAAUUCCCGGUGUAGCGGUGAAAUGCGCAGAUAUCGGGAGGAACACCAGAGGCGAAGGCGGUCUUCUGGACGGAUACUGACGUUGAGGCGCGAAAGCUAGGGGAGCAAACAGG